RNAcentral lists this ribosomal RNA (253 nucleotides) under Blautia luti. RNAcentral's name for it is "partial 16S ribosomal RNA". It matches the Rfam family "Bacterial small subunit ribosomal RNA", at positions 524 to 776 of the family's 1533-position model. Lineage: Bacteria; Bacillati; Bacillota; Clostridia; Lachnospirales; Lachnospiraceae. The record is from RNAcentral.
UACGUAGGGGGCAAGCGUUAUCCGGAUUUACUGGGUGUAAAGGGAGCGUAGACGGAUGGACAAGUCUGAUGUGAAAGGCUGGGGCUCAACCCCGGGACUGCAUUGGAAACUGCCCGUCUUGAGUGCCGGAGAGGUAAGCGGAAUUCCUAGUGUAGCGGUGAAAUGCGUAGAUAUUAGGAGGAACACCAGUGGCGAAGGCGGCUUACUGGACGGUAACUGACGUUGAGACUCGAAAGCGUGGGGAGCAAACAGG